Molecule: ribosomal RNA, 428 nt
Filed under: Clostridioides difficile
Lineage: Bacteria; Bacillati; Bacillota; Clostridia; Peptostreptococcales; Peptostreptococcaceae
Description: bacterial LSU rRNA
Rfam family: Bacterial large subunit ribosomal RNA
Source: RNAcentral
AGAGUCCACAUCGACGGGGAGGUUUGGCACCUCGAUGUCGGCUCAUCACAUCCUGGGGCUGUAGUAGGUCCCAAGGGUUGGGCUGUUCGCCCAUUAAAGUGGUACGCGAGCUGGGUUCCGAACGUCGUGAGACAGUUCGGUCCCUAUCCGGCGCAGGCGUAGGAAAUUUGAGAAGACCUGUCCUUAGUACGAGAGGACCGUGAUGGACGUACCUCUGGUGUACCAGUUGUUCUGCCAAGGGCAUGGCUGGGUAGCUAUGUACGGAAUGGAUAAGCGCUGAAAGCAUCUAAGCGCGAAGCCAACUUCAAGAUAAGAUUUCCCACCGCAAGGGUAAGACCCCAGAAAGACUAUCUGGUUGAUAGGUCGAAGGUGUAAGUGCAGCAAUGUAUUUAGCUUAUCGAUACUAAUAGGUCGAGGACUUGACCAAU